CUCCUUUCUGAUGAACCGUAAUGCCAUUAAUAUGGUGUUACGGGGAAUUAGGACUGUUACCUUGAAAAAAUUAGAGUGUUUAAAGCAGGCUCACGCUUGAAUACAUUAGCAUGGAAUAAUGAAAUAGGACAUCCGAUUCUAUUUUGUUGGUUUCUAGGAUCGAUGUAAUGAUUAAUAGGGAUAGUUGGGGGCAUUAGUAUUCAAUUGUCAGAGGUGAAAUUCUUGGAUUUAUUGAAGACUAACUACUGCGAAAGCAUUUGCCAAGGAUGUUUUCAUUAAUCAAGAACGAAAGUUAGGGGAUCGAAGACGAUCAGAUACCGUCGUAGUCUUAACCAUAAACUAUGCCGACUAGGGAUCGGAUGAUGUUAAUUUUUUAAUGACUCAUUCGGCGCCUUACGGGAAACAAGGGCGA
Molecule: ribosomal RNA, 412 nt
Filed under: uncultured Glomus
Lineage: Eukaryota; Fungi; Glomeromycota; Glomeromycetes; Glomerales; Glomeraceae
Description: SSU rRNA
Rfam family: Eukaryotic small subunit ribosomal RNA
Source: RNAcentral